This 253-nucleotide ribosomal RNA is filed under the name uncultured bacterium. Its description in RNAcentral is "partial 16S ribosomal RNA". It matches the Rfam family "Bacterial small subunit ribosomal RNA", at positions 524 to 776 of the family's 1533-position model. The record is from RNAcentral.
UACAGAGGGGGCAAGCGUUGUUCGGAAUUAUUGGGCGUAAAGAGCUCGUAGGCGGUUUGUCGCGUCGAAUGUGAAAACCCGGGGCUCAACCCCGGGCCUGCAUUCGAUACGGGCAGACUAGAGUUCGGUAGGGGAGACUGGAAUUCCUGGUGUAGCGGUGAAAUGCGCAGAUAUCAGGAGGAACACCGAUGGCGAAGGCAGGUCUCUGGGCCACUACUGACGCUGAGAAGCGAAAGCAUGGGGAGCGAACAGG